Calidris pugnax (ruff) is the source of this 2335-nucleotide long non-coding RNA. RefSeq lists it as uncharacterized. The record is from RefSeq and is a predicted model, not a curated record. Lineage: Eukaryota; Metazoa; Chordata; Aves; Charadriiformes; Scolopacidae. The transcript has 9 exons.
AAUGCAUCUUCUGACUUAGGAUGAUUCCUGUCAGUUUGAAGCCUUGACAGUACCAUUUAACAACUGACAAGAUGUACAGUGAACUGCCUGAGCAUCAGCUUGAAGUAGGCAACGAGAAGUUUCUUUGGGGCAUUUUCACAAGCAGAUCAGGACAAGUAAAUAUGAAUAUUUGCAGUCUUCUGUGAGGAAACUGGUGUCCUACAGCCUGAGGAGAAAAAGACCACUUUAUGAAAUGCUUCCACUUGGCGUAGUGCCUCGAGGCGAAGUCAAGUGGGUGCCCUGUUUGCCCAAAGCGAGAGCUUGACAAAGUGAGCAAGGACCCAGAAACUGAGACACCUGGAGAUCAAGUGACUUAACAACGUACAGAGAAUCUUUGUGUAUAUCUUUGUCUUGUGAACUCUGGGGUCUGCACAAGCAGAAAUUCAAGUACCAUCCAGUUAAGAUCUGAGUCACUGGGUCGUGUUAAGAAAAGAGUCACAGACCCCCCCACACUCAAAGCAGGACCAACUCUGGUGUUUGACAAGGUUGCUUAAUGUCAUGCUGCAAGAUGCCAGAGGAGGGUAACUGACCCAUGAUUUUGAUGCAAGGAACAGACUUAGAGUUGUGAGAAGAUGAACUUCUGUAGCCCAAAGUAGAUAGUGCUCAUCAUAGACAACAAUCUCCCGGACUUUCUCAUGGAAUACCUCAAGCACUCCUGUGCCUUCAGGAUAUGGUUGACAGCAUUGCACAAGUGUGACUGAGAUCCUGAUAAGCAAGUGAAAUGACAUGGAUGCAUAAGUUUACCAAAAACAGAGCUAAGAGAAUUUUGCUGUGGUGACAGACGGAACGAAGCUUUGGUGAAUAUGGAUUGAGAAUGCUUUGGUACCUGUUACAGAAGCUCCCUGAAGGGAAGCCACUGAGCCCUUCUCACUGGUGACCAGUGUGGCUUCUGUGGCACCUUCUCCUGAGGAAGAGGAGGAUGUUGCGCUUUCCCUUCUCUCCUGUGGCUGUGACUCCCAGACUUUUUCCUCAGUCUGUGGCCAGGUGGCUCGGUCCAGCGAUGCAGAGAUCACGGUGCAACGUAACACAAAGUGAUACCUGGCUGCCCAGUUAUCCCGCUCUCCGGUAUCUGCGCUGACUUGGAGCCUCGCAGCUUCAGGCCUGUCAGCCAACAGGAGCUCGUCUAUGCAAAUGUGCUACAAGAAAAUGAGGUCUAUAAAUAAUAGACACCUUGGGCCUGCACGUCACUACAAGGACUCUCCCCCCUCACGUCUACCAGUCAGUUCCAGCAGACUUGGUCCCUCUGGAUGGGCACGAGGAGGCUCCUGCUCCACAUCCCAGCCAAGUGAGCUUGUGGGCUCCUCUCCGACAGAGGCUGGCAGGCUCUCCCUCUCCCUGGAAGGACAGAUGUGUGCAUGGACUGAUGGACCUGCCUCUGAGCCUCUCCGUGAUGUGACCACCUCUGCAGACCACAGUGGGAGUAAAGCACAUCUCCUGCGCUGCUGCUGAGAGUUUUGUUGACGAGGUUCUAGGAAAUGUUGACCCAAAUAAGUGGGACUGGGAAGAAGAGUGUUCAGAACAGUAGUAGGAGUGAAGAGGUGACACGUCAUUGCACCUCAAUGACUCAAGAGAAAGACGGGAUCCUGAGGGCCUGGUGACUGCAGUGGGAGUUUGUUGGCCCACGGUGCAGCCGAGCAAAAUACAAGAAAUACAAGCUGUGGCACAGAUCAGAGCUCAGAUGGGACAGUCCUGUAACCAGUCUGAGAAGUGCCAGGCCCUUGCCAAUGAGCUACUUGCAACACACAAGGAACAAAGAGAAAUUUGACUUUGAACUGUGCUGUCCCGUAUCCAGGAGACCAGUUGCAUUUUCCCGUGCUGUAUGAAUAAUACUCUUCUUUUAUCACCUUGUACCUAUUCCGUACCAAUACCUAACCAAUCUGCCUAUGAAUAUAAAGCAGCUGCUUAUGCACUGUAGAGUAACGUGGCAUCAGACCCCAGGCAAAGAACAUCCAUGGUAUUGCACCAGAUCAUGGCAUUUAACUUGCUGUAGUGACAAAGCAGGAUCCGCUCCUGCCUUGUCAACUGUGCAGUCCCGUGUGACAUGGACAACCUGCAUUUGGUCCUCUGACUUCUCUGGAACACAAAUAGUUGGUGAAAAGGAGGUGGAGGAACGGUGCUUUUCUAAAAUUUGCCCGCUUAAAACCAGCCAUGUGGAGCUGCAACUUAGUCCCUGCUGGUGAAGUUUUCUCUUCUAGAAGCAAAACCGUAAGUGUUAGGAAUGAUCUGAAGUCUGUCAUUUCAGAUGUGAUGAUUACACUGUGAAAAUCCAAUUAAUUAAAGUCCGUUCAGCUUGAAA